RNAcentral lists this ribosomal RNA (468 nucleotides) under uncultured bacterium. RNAcentral's name for it is "partial 16S ribosomal RNA". It matches the Rfam family "Bacterial small subunit ribosomal RNA", at positions 28 to 507 of the family's 1533-position model. The record is from RNAcentral.
GACGAACGCUGGCGGCGUGCUUAACACAUGCAAGUCGAACGGAAAGGCCCUGCUUUUGUGGGGUGCUCGAGUGGCGAACGGGUGAGUAACACGUGAGUAACCUGCCCUUGACUUUGGGAUAACUUCAGGAAACUGGGGCUAAUACCGGAUAGGAGCUCCUGCUGCAUGGUGGGGGUUGGAAAGUUUCGGCGGUUGGGGAUGGACUCGCGGCUUAUCAGCUUGUUGGUGGGGUAGUGGCUUACCAAGGCUUUGACGGGUAGCCGGCCUGAGAGGGUGACCGGCCACAUUGGGCCUGAGAUACGGCCCAGACUCCUACGGUAGGCAGAAGUGGGGAAUAUUGCACAGUGGGCGGAAGCCUGAUGCAGCAACGCCGCGUGCGGGAUGACGGCCUUCGGGUUGUAAACCGCUUUCGCCUGUGACGAAGCGUGAGUGACGGUAAUGGGUAAAGAAGCACCGGCUAACUACGUG